GCUCUGUUACACUGAAUCACAUUUCUUGCAUUUGCAGAUGCUAGUCAUGAUUGCUUCCCAGCCCCCUGCAACCUUGGUUGAGCACACAGUGAUAUGCCCUCAUAUUUGGACUCUUAUGAAUCUGUUUUUCCUCUUUUUACUGAUGUUUUUCAGAUUCUUGUUCCUUUUCUGGGCAAGUGCUGGCCAUGCCAUGGACUGCAGUCUGAGAAAGAUAUGUAAGAGAUACAGCAUCUGUAAUUUUCCUAGUAUGGCUUCAGAAAGUAGAGAAAUCUGCCAUAAUGUUGCAGAUGGUAAAGAACUGGUAAGAGGUAUUUGAGCUGUGGAUGUAUUUUGGAAGUGGCUGACAUGAUGUGAUAUACAAUUACCCUAGACUUCUAUCAUGUUACACUACACCACAUAAAAUGAUUGCACACUGUAUAUGUCUUAAUUUGCCACUUGCUACUCCUCCAAAGAUAUGAUCUCAACAGGAAACCUGUCUGCAUGUGCCCUAGACCACUCUACCCACUGGCAAGACAUCUGCCUAGAAGGUUUUAGGUUGGUCUAACAGGUGCACUGAAGCAAACACAACCCCUUUGGACAGGUUAGUCCUAUCCCCAGGACAUGCCCACAGCCUGUUGCAAUGGAGACCUGGGCACCAACAAUACCUCAGCUUGCUGCCCCAGUCCUAUGGAAGUGUUCUCUCAGUGGCACUGCUGACUAGGGAUCAAUCAUUGGCUUUGUUUCUUGGGAUGCUUUGCAGACAUUCCUUCCCCACUGCUCAGAUGCCAUGUGUAGUGGUGCUGGGUCACUGGCGUUGUGGCCCCAAGCUAGUGGUGGGACUGGGCACCCUGUGUCUUUGUGUCCUUCUGCAUGUAAAAUCACUCAAAAUUCUCUGUAUUUCUCUGGAGGCAGUUGAAUAGUGAAUAUUCUGCAUGAAAACUAGAACAUUCUCCCUUAUGCCCCUUGGCCCCUUGUUAAAAUUCACCAUUUUCCAAAGGGACAAUUUUCCUGCUGUUCUGGUUGGCUCUACCAUCACACUGUUUUGCAGUAGGUUUGAGUCAAUCUGCAUAUAACUGGACUUUCCAUGCACUUUUUCCCCAAUAUUAGAUAUCUGAAAUCCCCACUUGUAUUCAUAUUGUUAAAAAUAUAAUGAUAGGGCUCAGUAUAGCACCUAAUACAGCAGAACUUCAACUCCUUGUCACCUUAGACACGUCAUGUCAAAGCAGACUUUGACACACAGCAAUAAGGAAAUUUAUUAAGCAAAACAUAAGUUUGCAUAAAAUGGACCAAUAACUUUGAUUAGCACACGUGCUAGAAAGUUAAUUCUCGCUGAGUAAAAUGUCAGUGACCUCCUUGAUACUGAGUAGAAAAUGGCCUGCAAAAGCCAAAGCCAAAUUUUCAGCAUAAAUUUGUGUUUCAGUUAUUUAAUAACAAAUUUAAUAACAAAAUAAAAAUAAUCCAGGCGAUAAUACUACA
Molecule: long non-coding RNA, 1455 nt
Filed under: Anas platyrhynchos platyrhynchos (common mallard)
Lineage: Eukaryota; Metazoa; Chordata; Aves; Anseriformes; Anatidae
Description: lncRNA (ENSAPLG00000026096.1)
Source: RNAcentral